RNAcentral lists this long non-coding RNA (854 nucleotides) under Nicotiana benthamiana. RNAcentral's name for it is "long non-coding RNA (NBEN_LNC041820)". Lineage: Eukaryota; Viridiplantae; Streptophyta; Magnoliopsida; Solanales; Solanaceae. The record is from RNAcentral.
CACAAUCUCCCUACCCGUCCCCACUGACCCAACUUCCCACUUUUAAUUAAAACCUAGCUAGACCUAGAAAGAUAAGGAGAGACCCCUAGACAAAGAACAUCGGAUUUGAAGGAGCUAAAAUGGGUCAGCCACGAUUUCUUUCUCUUAAAGGGAAGAUUACACAAACAUGGAGAGGUUGAACGAACAAAAUUUGGGAUUUGGUUGUUGGGUUUGUCACCUUCUAAUUUCUGAUUUUAGUUUGUUUAUAUAUAUAUAAAAAAAGGAGGGCAAGUUCUCCUAGAUUUUUGUUCUUUAGCUUCAGAAACCAGAAAACAAAAAAUUGGCAUUCCUUUCGUUAGAUAUUUGGAUGUUAGGGAUGGAUUUUAAUUGAGGUCACGUUUUGUUUGAGAUUUAUGAUGUUGUUUGCGUUUCUGGUGGUUGUUCGCCGUCUACUUUCAUCUGCUGGUUGCUAGUCUGUCACGGCUGAGCUCCAUCUUUGGAGUAUUCUGGUUGUUACUAGAUUUUUGAAGUUUAUUUCACUUGCCGCUAGGUAUGUGAUUGUUCACUUUGUAGUUUUCCCUUAAUUGUAUGAAUAAAAACUCGAAUUGUUUGCUGACUCUAGGUUUGAUUUUGUGGGUUUAUUAUGGUUGGCUACUAGGUUCCUCUCCAUCUGAUUUGUUCGGUUUAAAUGGUUAAACUUGAAGAUUUAAGUUGGAUAUUAGUGAUUGCUAGGAAUCCCUUGAAGCCUGGUCAAAGAAUUAUUCGGAAUUUGUUUUGGCUGAGUAGCUGAAAUUUUUCUCAUGUUUAAAUUCUCAGACGCUAUAAAUAAUUACUCAUGUAAUUAGGGUGGAAUCCGUGUGUUUAUGGGUUUUAUA